Molecule: long non-coding RNA, 291 nt
Filed under: Setaria italica (foxtail millet)
Lineage: Eukaryota; Viridiplantae; Streptophyta; Magnoliopsida; Poales; Poaceae
Description: long non-coding RNA (SITA_LNC000829)
Source: RNAcentral
AAGUUUAGAGGAGGGCUAUCUUCCAAAGGUCACAUUUAAUGUUGUGCAAAAGAUGAUAAACAUAAUGUGUUGUGCCCUAAACAUGUUUCAAAGACACUACCAUGCAUGCGAUAAUAAGUUGAUUUGCCUUUGGCAACUUCUGGAGGAGUUGGUGAGAGGUCUUGAGUUCGAUUUGACGUGUUAAUUUGAAAUACAUUGACGGGCCAAAUGUUCCUCUAUCUCUUCAUCAUCAGAGUGCUCAUAAGUAUCAUUAUCAUCUGUAAAUAUCUUUACAAUCAUUUUUUUUGCCAG